AUCCUGAUACGGGCCUCUUAGGAUCCUACCUUCCAUACCUUACCCUCUAUGACCCCUUUCACCACCACAUAUAUGUACACAUGUAAAUACGUACAUACAUAUACAUAUGUACACAUACACACAUAUAUACAUAUGUACAUAUAUGUGUGUGUGGAUGAGUCCUAUUGCCCACUGCCUACACCCCGUUGAGCCCAUGAGCCCCAACCUUAGCUCCUCUGGGGGUAUUCCAUCCCCUAGCAAAGAGGAAGAGGAGGAGGAGGAGGAGGAGGAAGGCCGUCGGCACAGUAUCAGGAAACUCUCUGAGACUCUGCCAUCUGCAACCCGCCCACCCUUCUUUGAGUUUGCCUCCAGAAGAGAGAGAGCUCUUGGCCCACGCACCCCACUCUCCCAACAGGAAAAAGAAAGCAAUUUUUAUGGUGGAAGAAGGAGGAGGAAACUGCAGGAAGCUGAGGCCCUACUUCGCUCCAGGCUUCGGAAGAGGUUCGAGCCUUGGUUCCCGGAGCUGACUCUUGGUAGGCCGGGGAAGGUGUUUGUUGUGAAUAUUUAGGGGUCGGGUUAAAGUUCCAGCUGGGAGCCCGGCGCUAUGGGAGGACCAGGAAACAGAAGGCGGCCACCCCCUCCAGUGAAGCCACCACGCAGAGAGGUAGUCCUCUGUGCCCCGUGCUGGGAUAAGGAAACUGAAGCAGGAGAGGUAAGGGAGAAGCAUAAACUCAGAUCAACAGUCAUCAUGGGCCCAAGCCAUAUUCCGUGUUUUCUGGGUCCCAGCGGGUCAUGUGAUCUUGGCACACAAGACUGUCCGCAGGGCAUCCACAACUCAGGAGGAAACACAGAAACUUCCGGGGUGAGAAGGCCACUCAGAAACCCCAGACCCUUACAGCCACACAGCUCAGGUCCCCGGAGGUCACUCCCCUUUCUGCUCUCCUUCCAAGACGGACAGCUCUCAUCAACCAUGAGAAGACCUCAGCUGCUCCCUGCUGCCACAAAACCACCUUUCGGUAGGAGUGGGGCCAGCCUGUCUUGGGGAUUGGUGUCUCCAGAUGAUGAAGCUUUACUGAACCCCCCUCAGCUCAGCUGCCCCAGCUUCCUUAGCAGGGAGACAGGCUGAGGUGUUGGGUCCCAAGGGGCUACCUUCUACUUGUCAGAGAGUGGCCCAGGAACUCUGAUCAUUCGGCAAUUUUCUUUCAGAUCCCUGUCACCUCCUCCCUCCAGGGGAAUAUGUGGUCUCUUCAGACCCCAAAGAGAAUAAUAUGUUGGAUUCGGGAUCAGCAGAUAUGAGCUCACUUCACUUCAACUCAGUUCAACAAGGUCUGACUCACCCUGGCUGCUGAGUUUGGCAACUGUGCCCUAGCCACAUCUCCAUGCCAGCCCUGGUCACUAAAGCUACCUCAGCUGUCCCCCAGAUCCUGAGGCUACUGUGGGUCAAGGCCGCACUUCACACACUUUCCCCAAACUCUACAUUCAAUUCAAAUCCAGGCAAGAGUGUGAGAUGCUUGACGCUGCCCCAAAGGGAAGGUCAAAGGUCAGGCUAUGGGGGUCUGGUGAUUCACAUUCCUGGCAGGUCGAACGACUCUUGCCCAAAAAAGCAAAGAUCACCACAAAAGAAAUAGCCUCUAUUUCUAUAGCUCUUAAAGGUAUAUAAAGCACUUUCUUCUCCAAAAACCAACCACAUAACCCCUCCAGUGAUACUCAGGUGUUGCAGAUUAUUAAUCCAGUUUCACAAGUGAGGAGAUUGAGCACUUUGCUGAGGGUCGGAUAACUUUGAAGCAUCACAGGGAACCAUGAUGUACUUCUCUAAACCUCACAAUUAAGGCCUCUUCUGGCGGGGCAGUGGAAAAGAGCACUGAGUUGGGAGUGCCCCUUUAUCACUUCCUAUCAACUGGAAGAUGGGGGCUCUGCCAGAUCUGCCAGCCUCUGGGGCCUAUUGUGGGGUGCCAGCAGGAGCAAGGACAGGAGGGCAAAGGUGAGAGAAACACCUAGAGGCGGUUUGGCCCCCCGUCUCCAGGAAGGGUGCUGCUGCAGUCACAUCCCAGGCUAGGGAUUCUUGGUGCAACACUCAGGGCUUUUGAGCUCCAAACUUUCCCUUCAAUCUGGUCUGUGUCUGGUAGAGAUAACCCACAGCCAAAUGGUAGCCCUGGCCAAGGGCACUAGUGAGGCCUCAUCCCUUUUAUCAGUGGUGUCAAAUUCAAAAAGAAAUGGGCACCAUUAAACCAUACAUAAGGGCAGCUAGGUGGCACAGUGGAUAGAGCGCCUGGCCUGGAGUCAGGAAGACUCAUCACCCUGAGUUCAAACAUGGCCUCAGAAUGAGCCGGAGAAGGAAAUGGCAAACCACUCUAGUAUCUUUGCCAAGAAAACCUCCAAAAGGGUCCCGAAAAGUUGGACAUGACUGAACAACAAUAAAAAAACAUACAGAAAGGAUCCCUGUGGGCCA
This 2428-nucleotide long non-coding RNA is filed under the name Vombatus ursinus (common wombat). RNAcentral's name for it is "lncRNA (ENSVURG00010006965.1)". Lineage: Eukaryota; Metazoa; Chordata; Mammalia; Diprotodontia; Vombatidae. The record is from RNAcentral.